GCCUCCUGCCCCCUACAGACCCCGUACCUCUCCAGUCUGCCAUGAGUCCUCUUUGAUGUCACCCUAUCCCCCCCCCAACCUUAGGUUAAGAGACUUCCUGCCUUUGCCCGUGCUGGCCAUUCCUGGGCCACACUUGUCAGAACCUCCCAGGAGCCAUCACCUCUGUGACAGCCGAGUGCUGCUGGAGACUGUGUCCCCACGGCUCUGGUUGCCCUCCCCAUCCUUCCUCUGCCGUGAGCACCCAGUCCCUGAAGUCAGGGCGGACCUAGUGACACUGGGAUCCCCAGGACUCAGCUUAGAGCCUGGUGACAGAGAUUGGUUCCCUACCCCUGCCUGGCGCCUGGUAGCACCUCCUUCCAUGCUGCUGGUCCACUAUGGUUUGGGCAUGCAUGCCCCUCACAGGCUCACAUAUUUGUUUAUGGAGCCUCAGCUGGUGGCAUUGCCUUUGGAACCUGUGCAACCUGAUGAGGCCUAGCUGUCAGAGAUGUGAGCAAGCUGCUGUGACCGCAGCUGCAACCCAUGUCCUCUGCUAUGUCUUCCCCACCAUGACAAACUGUAUCCCUUCUAAUU
Mesocricetus auratus (golden hamster) is the source of this 570-nucleotide long non-coding RNA. RefSeq lists it as uncharacterized. The record is from RefSeq and is a predicted model, not a curated record. Lineage: Eukaryota; Metazoa; Chordata; Mammalia; Rodentia; Cricetidae. The transcript is spliced from 3 exons.